UCGAGAAUCUUCCGCAAUGCGCGAAAGCGUGACGGAGCAAUGCCGCGUGUCGGAUGAAGGCCUUCGGGUUGUAAACGACUGUCACUCGGGACGAAAAAAUGACGGUACCGAGGGAGGAAGCCACGGCUAACUACGUGCCAGCAGCCGCGGUAAUACGUAGGUGGCGAGCGUUGUUCGGAAUUAUUGGGCGUAAAGGGUCUGUAGGAGGUUCGUUAAAUUUGGAGUGAAAUCCCGGAGCUCAACUCCGGAACUGCUUUGAAGACUGGCGAACUAGAGUGCCAUAGAGGUAAGCGGAAUUCCAGGUGUAGCGGUGGAAUGCGUAGAUAUCUGGAAGAACACCAAAAGCGAAGGCAGCUUACUGGCUGGUAACUGACUCUGAGAGACGAAAGCGUGGGGAGCAAGCA
Molecule: ribosomal RNA, 404 nt
Filed under: uncultured Victivallis sp.
Lineage: Bacteria; Pseudomonadati; Lentisphaerota; Lentisphaeria; Victivallales; Victivallaceae
Description: partial 16S ribosomal RNA
Rfam family: Bacterial small subunit ribosomal RNA
Source: RNAcentral